CCUGAUGCUUUAAAAGAACUGAACACAGUGAUCUCUUGGUAAGCCAUAACUCAAUUUGUCCUGUGACCUGUCUCUUUCCUAGAAAAAAUGUAGCUAGCAGUGCUGCUGGAGAGCUGAGCUUGCCAGGCAUCUGCAGUGCUCCAAACCAGAGUAAUGCCAAGGGAGCUGGAGAGCAGCUGAAACAGCUUGAGGAGAUGGGUGGAGGGAACAGGCCAACCACAAAAUUAAUCUUUGAAUUAAUAAAAGCCUGCAUGGUUUGAGGUUUGUGAAGCAAUAAACAAGUUCAAAUUUGCCAGAGACUGAAAAAGAAAAGCAAUUAGGUGUAAGGGAAACCUUCUAAUGUGGAUCAAGAUAAUAUGCUGGAAUACGCAUUGGGUUGAAAAAAAAUGAUGAGACGUUUACCUUUAAUUGAAAAUGACUACAGGAAUUUUGAUGAACAUGUUAAAGUAUGUAUCAGAGCAAAUCUUUUUACUCUUAUUACUAAUAGGGAAUGACGGAAUAAGAGCUUCUGUUUAAUAGCAGUAAUAACUUCAUAAUAUUUUUCCUUUGAGUCAUAUGGUAGGCUCUUUCACCAGCCAGUACUUAGUCCAAAAAGUAUCUUAGACUUUUCCUCAUCACAGCCUCAUUUCUGGGUAUGUGUGGAUGAAUGUCUGCUACUCCCAUUUAUGUGUGCUGCCUCUGGUUUUCUCUGAAUAUCCCAGCAGAAGAGCACCCAUUUUGGUGCUCCUGCCUUCAUGUGACUGUUUUGGCAGUGCUGCCUCUUGCCCCAUGCCCUCCCUGCAGCCUCGGUAGCACUGCCGCUCACUGCACGGCCCAGGAAGAAGGGCAGCUUCGUCCUGCUCUGCCAAGCCAACGCGAGGAGAAGACUGGCUUUGCGUGAGAUGCGAUGGGAGCUGUGUAACAAUGUUUGGGCUGUAUGAAGAACUGGUUAAUAACCAUCCAUAAAACCAGAGCUGGAAAACUUGCACAUGGAAGUAUUUUUAAAAUUGCCCAACAAGGUCAUCAAACCUUUAAUACUGAUUUCUCAGCAAAUACCAUGUCACUGAAUUUCCAGAGAUUCAGGGGAAAUAACUGUUGAGUCAUUAUCCCGAAACAGUAACUGCCAUGUCCUAGGUUUCUUGUUGGCUCACCUUGCUGGGCUGACUCAUGUGGGGGCUGUGUGAGAAGCACCUUGAGUGUGCCACCGCGGUGAUGCGAUGGGCUCAGGUCAUUUACCCUAUGGAACCUGCUCUGGCUGCACGCUGUAAGAUGCAAUGCUGACCGAUCCCCUUGGUCUGCAAGGAAGGAGAACUGCUGGAAAAAAAGUGUACUGUGUGAAAAUAUAGAUCCUCGUAUGGCUUACAGACCCCUCAGUGAUUUAUGGUGCUCCUCAGAAUCUUAAACUGAUGCACCUGGAAAAUGAACCCGGAGGUGCACUUAGUGAACACACCGGUGUUUAUAGAUGAGCUGGAAGCAUUUAGAAAUGGUUCUGGUACAGCACUUGGAACGAUGCACACGUUGGUGGGGCAGUAAUCAAGAGCAGGUCAGCUCAGCCCCACAGCUGGCUGAGUGUAUCUGAGCAGUACACACAUCUGACGGAGUUAAGCACCGGCUUCUAGGAACCCAAACAGAGCACACGAACUUCAGUCGAGCGUGUUGCCGCGAGCAGUGACACGGAAAAGGGCUGCCUGCGAGGAGAGACACACUGCUCGGGCACCUCUACGCUGGCAGAUAAGCCUAUCGUGAGGUGGCUGCUGGCAGCAGCAUGGUAGGAUGGGUUAUUAAAGGCAGGCGUGUGUCUGGAGGCACGUGUGGAAGCAGAGAGAUACCAGCCCUUCACACUCCUCUUGGGAUCCGGCCAGCAGGACCUGGGGCUGGUUUCCCAAAGCGCUGGGGUUUGGCUGUCCCCUGGACAUGCUGCCAGGCUCCUCUGCAGGUGGUGUCUGUGGGCUUUCCCAGGGCUCUCCCCACAGAUGACCACCUCCGACGGGGCGAUUUUCCAUCAGCCGUUUCCCUCCUCUCCCUCAGCGCUCUCCAACAGCCUUGCGGCCACACGUGCCUUUAGGGACGGAUAUUUGGCAAGUGGCAGUGUGGUUUUAGAUGCUAUCGGCCUAGCAGCUGGAGGCAAGAACGUGCCGGGCCUGCAGGACCACACAGCUCCCUGCAGCCUGACAGCGAGGCCCAUGGGAGCUGGGAUCGCCUUCGCCCGGCUCUGCCAGCCCGUGCUGGGAACGGCACCGGCACUGCUGUGGGCAUGGCAGUGCCCGAGGGAUGUGGUUCGGUGGUGGUGGUGGUGGCAGGGGUUGUGGGAUGGGAUGGCCUUGGAGGUCUGUUCCCACCUC
This is a long non-coding RNA of Anas platyrhynchos (mallard), 2321 nucleotides long. RefSeq lists it as uncharacterized. NCBI's taxonomy places the organism in Eukaryota, Metazoa, Chordata, Aves, Anseriformes, Anatidae. The record is from RefSeq and is a predicted model, not a curated record.